CCCGGAAGAAACGUACCGGUAUUAACUACCGCAUACCGCCCGUACGGGGAAAGCCGGGGAUCUUCGGACCUGGCGCUAGUAGAUGAGCCCGCGUGAGAUUAGCUUGUUGGUGGGGUAAUGGCCUACCAAGGCAACGAUCUCUAGCUGGUCUGAGAGGACGAUCAGCCACACUGGGACUGAGACACGGCCCAGACUCCUACGGGAGGCAGCAGUGGGGAAUAUUGGACAAUGGGCGAAAGCCUGAUCCAGCAAUGCCGCGUGUGUGAAGAAGGCCUGAGGGUUGUAAAGCACUUUCAAUCGUGAAGAAAAGUUGCAGGCUAAUACCCUGUGACCUUGACGUUAACGAUACAAGAAGCACCGGCUAACUCCGUG
This 372-nucleotide ribosomal RNA is filed under the name uncultured bacterium. RNAcentral's name for it is "bacterial SSU rRNA". It matches the Rfam family "Bacterial small subunit ribosomal RNA", at positions 145 to 507 of the family's 1533-position model. The record is from RNAcentral.